This 483-nucleotide ribosomal RNA is filed under the name uncultured bacterium. Its description in RNAcentral is "partial 16S ribosomal RNA". It matches the Rfam family "Bacterial small subunit ribosomal RNA", at positions 30 to 507 of the family's 1533-position model. The record is from RNAcentral.
AUUGAACGCUGGCGGCAGGCCUAACACAUGCAAGUCGAGCGGAUGAAGGGAGCUUGCUCCUGGAUUCAGCGGCGGACGGGUGAGUAAUGCCUAGGAAUCUGCCUGGUAGUGGGGGAUAACGUCCGGAAACGGGCGCUAAUACCGCAUACGUCCUGCGGGAGCAAGUGGGGGAUCUUCGGACCUCACGCUAUCAGAUGAGCCAGGUCGGAUUAGCUAGUUGGUGGGGUAAAGUCCUACCAAGCCGACGAUCCGUAACUGGUCUGAGAGGAUGAUCAGUCACACUGGAACUGAGACACGGUCCAGACUCCUACGGGAGGCAGCAGUGGGGAAUAGUGGACAAUGGGCGAAAGCCUGAUCCAGCCAUGCCGCGUGUGUGAAGAAGGUCUUCGGAUUGUAAAGCACUUUAAGUUGGGAGGAAGGGCAGUAAGUUAAUACCUUGCUGUUUUGACGUUACCAACAGAAUAAGCACCGGCUAACUUCGUG